ACUGCGAGUGAAGCGGGAAAAGCUCAAAUUUAAAAUCUGGCGGUCCCUGUGGCCGUCCGAGUUGUAAUUUAGAGAAGUGUUAUCCGUGCUGGACCGUGUACAAGUCUCCUGGAAUGGAGCGUCAUAGAGGGUGAGAAUCCCGUCUUUGACACGGACUGCCAGUGCAUUGUGAUGCGCUCUCAAAGAGUCGAGUUGUUUGGGAAUGCAGCUCAAAAUGGGUGGUAAAUUCCAUCUAAAGCUAAAUAUUGAGGAGAGACCGAUAGCGAACAAGUACCGUGAGGGAAAGAUGAAAAGAACUUUGGAAAGAGAGUUAAACAGUACGUGAAAUUGCUGAAAGGGAAACGCUUGAAGUCAGUCGCGCCGUUCAGGACUCAGCCUUGCUUUGCUUGGUGUACUUCCUGUUUGGUGGGUCAGCAUCAAUUUUGGUCGGUGGAUAAAGGCUUAGAGAAUGUGGCAUCUUCGGGUGUGUUAUAGCUCUGGGUCGCAUACAUCGGCUGGGAUUGAGGAACUCAGCACGCCGCAAGGCCGGGGACUUGUCCCACGUACGUGCUUAGGAUGCUGGCAUAAUGGCUUUAAUCGACCCGUCUUGAAACACGGACCAAGGAGUCUAACAUGCCUGCGAGUGUUUGGGUGGAAAACUCGAGCGCGUAAUGAAAGUGAAAGUUGAGAUCCCUGUCGUGGGGAGCAUCGACGCCCGGAGCAGACCUUUUGUGACGCAUCCGCGGUAGAGCAUGUAUGUUGGGACCCGAAAGAUGGUGAACUAUGCCUGAAUAGGGUGAAGCCAGAGGAACUCUGGUGGAGGCUCGUAGCGAUUCUGACGUGCAAAUCGAUCGUCGAAUUUGGGUAUAG
This 849-nucleotide ribosomal RNA is filed under the name Mycena citrinomarginata. Its description in RNAcentral is "LSU rRNA". It matches the Rfam family "Eukaryotic large subunit ribosomal RNA", at positions 86 to 920 of the family's 3401-position model. Lineage: Eukaryota; Fungi; Basidiomycota; Agaricomycetes; Agaricales; Mycenaceae. The record is from RNAcentral.